Molecule: ribosomal RNA, 256 nt
Filed under: uncultured bacterium
Lineage: Bacteria
Description: partial 16S ribosomal RNA
Rfam family: Bacterial small subunit ribosomal RNA
Source: RNAcentral
UACGAAGGGGGCUAGCGUUGCUCGGAAUCACUGGGCGUAAAGGGUGCGUAGGCGGGUCUUUUAAGUCAGAGGUGAAAUCCUGGAGCUCAACUCCAGAACUGCCUUUGAUACUGGAGGAUCUUGAGUUCGGGAGAGGUGAGUGGAACUGCGAGUGUAGAGGUGAAAUUCGUAGAUAUUCGCAAGAACACCAGUGGCGAAGGCGGCUCACUGGCCCGAGUACUGACGCUGAGGCACGAAAGCGUGGGGAGCAAACAGG